RNAcentral lists this long non-coding RNA (204 nucleotides) under Coturnix japonica (Japanese quail). RNAcentral's name for it is "lncRNA (ENSCJPG00005000515.1)". Lineage: Eukaryota; Metazoa; Chordata; Aves; Galliformes; Phasianidae. The record is from RNAcentral.
GAACUGAACCUGGCGAGGGAUGUGAAAAAUAAGACAUUCUACAGGAAAGAAUAAUCUGAAUAGGAAGAUCAUCAUGUCAACUGUAAGACGAGUCUAGAAAAGUUUUCUGGGUCAAAUCAUCUGAGGAGAAAAACAGCAACUUGCGUAACCUAUGGAGAACUAAAAGAAGUCAUGAAAGACCACCUGGAGUUACCAGGCCAACCC